This 460-nucleotide ribosomal RNA is filed under the name uncultured bacterium. RNAcentral's name for it is "partial 16S ribosomal RNA". It matches the Rfam family "Bacterial small subunit ribosomal RNA", at positions 338 to 795 of the family's 1533-position model. The record is from RNAcentral.
CCUACGGGAGGCAGCAGUGAGGAAUAUUGGUCAAUGGGCGCGAGCCUGAACCAGCCAAGUAGCGUGAAGGAUGACUGCCCUAUGGGUUGUACACCUCUUUUAUAAAGGAAUAAAGAGAGGCACGUGUGCGGUGUUGUAUGUACUGUAUGAAUAAGGAUCGGCUAACUCCGUGCCAGCAGCCGCGGUAAUACGGAGGAUCCGAGCGUUAUCCGGAUUUAUUGGGUUUCAAGGGAGCGUAGACGGGUUUGUAAGUACGUUGUGAAAUUGUGCGGCUCAACCGUAAAAUUGCAAUUAAUACUGGCAGCCGUGAGUACAGUUGAGGUAGGCGGAAUACGUGAUGUAGCGGUGAAAUGCUUAGAUAUGACGAAGAACUCCGAUUGCGAAGGCAGCUUACUAAGCUGCCACUGACAUUGAUGUUCGAGAGUGUGGGUAUCAAACAGGAUUAGAUACCCCUGUAGUC